Molecule: long non-coding RNA, 1189 nt
Organism: Armigeres subalbatus
Lineage: Eukaryota; Metazoa; Arthropoda; Insecta; Diptera; Culicidae
Exons: 4
Source: RefSeq, a predicted model, not a curated record
AAUCCCGAAAGCGAACGCAGGUAACCAGCGUAUGUUCAAAUUACCCUAUCGACGCUGAAAAACACCGACGCUGAAAUUUGAGCGUUUGCCUGUUUGGCGUUUUAACACCGGCGAAUAACACACUCUUGUUUCGUAUCGUCGUAGUGGAGGAGUUCCUUCCGGCUGAUCGGAAUAUCCAAGGAUUAAUCACGAUUUGCACCAUGUAGGCAAUUCCAGCCGGAAUCCCGAAAGAGAAUGCAGGUACCCAGCAGCGUAGGUAAAAAUGAUCAAACAAAAAUACCAUCGAAGCUGAAAUUCUAAUGUUUGACUCUUCUGCGUUUCAACACCGGGGACAGAACAACAAUAAUCGGCGUAUAACACCUGCAGAGCCACCGGAAACAAAAUAUUAUUUUCAUUGCCAGGCAGGAUUCUGGUACCAUAUCGCAUCCGGCUAUUCGGAAUAUUCAAGGAUUAAUCAUGAUUUGCACCAUGUAAGCACUGCUAGUCGGUAUUCCGGAAGAGAACGCUGGUGCCCAGCAGACUAAAUGAUCUAAUCGACGACAAUCAAAUGAAAAUAAUACCACCGAAGUCGAAAUUCGAGCGUUUGGCUGUUCGGCGUUUUAACACCGUCGAACGGUCAUCAAUCAGGCUGUGCUCCCAAUUGAUAGUGAUAGCUUUGGUAUUGUUUGCUGAAUUCAUCGCCAACUGAUAAAUCAACGAGAAAUAUAAAAGAAUUCAGAUAAUGUUUCUGAGCGCAGUUUUUAGGAACACCACAAACAUGAAAGUCGUCGUGAUUUUUAUAUUUGCUAUCAUUGUUGUCCACUCAAGAGUUGCCAAUGCAAAUUCUCCCGGAAAAGACCAGUGGGGAAGUUUUGGAAAACAACUAGGUGCACGCAUUACAAACGUUAUCAAGGAUGGCGACAGUUGGAGUGAUAUUUCGAGAGCGAUUCGUAACAUACCGCAAGGAUCUAGCCCCAAGGACAUCGACAUCAAUAAUCCAAAUCUGAUUUUCGAAUUAAUGAAUGCAGUCAAAAAGUUACAAACUCCUCCUGAAGCACCGAAACCAAACCUGAUCAUAAAACCAACAUCGGAGUAUGGAAAUCUAGACGUUCCAAUGGUAGCUGAAAUUGACAACAAAGUUGAUUAGUUAUAACCACCAUCAAUAAGUAUUAAGCAAAUGAUAAGCAUAAAUAUAAAUACACAAACUCGA